This 71-nucleotide transfer RNA is filed under the name Rana muscosa (mountain yellow-legged frog). RNAcentral describes it as "tRNA-Ala". The record is from RNAcentral. Lineage: Eukaryota; Metazoa; Chordata; Amphibia; Anura; Ranidae.
UAGAACUUGCAGGAUAUUAACCCACAUCUCCUGAAUGCAACUCAGACCCUUUAAAUUAAGAUAAAGUCCUU